This is a long non-coding RNA of Daucus carota subsp. sativus, 677 nucleotides long. RefSeq lists it as uncharacterized. Lineage: Eukaryota; Viridiplantae; Streptophyta; Magnoliopsida; Apiales; Apiaceae. The record is from RefSeq and is a predicted model, not a curated record. The transcript has 3 exons.
UAAUCCAUUUACAAGCAUCACUUUGUAACUUCCUCCGGUCACUCCCACCAAUUUAGCUUCCAUUAUCUCACGAACAUCAAUUCAAAUUCUUCACCGUAGACUUCUAACUGAACCAUCUUCUGUUUUCGUCCCACGAUAAACAAUUUUCAUGGAUGCAUCUGAUGCUCAUUGAUCUUCUCUCCAAUAACAAUCCGUCAUAUAAAUACUUCUCAAAAAUCAUUACUGAUAUUUUGGAGAUGGAUGGAACUGGAAUGUAAAAUCAACUCCUCUUGAAUCUUAGUCUGUCAACAUGGAUGCCUUUGUUUUGAUAUGAAGUAGUGCACGACAACAGUUGGUGACAACCCCCUAUGUGAAUUCUAAGGCAACGAGUGGUAGUCAUGGUGGUGGAAGUAGCAAAUCAAGCCAGUACUGGUCUCCAAAGUUACAUAGGUAUUUCUUGGUAGCACUUGAAGAGCUUGGUGGUGCUUAUGGUACGUCUCGAACUAAUUUAUCUUUAGUACUGUUUGUCCCGCAAACUUGAAUUAACUGGGUUUUUUUUAUUCCAUAUGGUACUCACUCUCCAUCAUCAGGCCAGAAAGUUAUUAAAUGCCAGGCCUUCAGUGAUCAGCCCACUGUUGAACAACGUUCCAGAACAAGUUCAGUCAGUCAACAAUGUUCCGGUCAGUGCUCCACCGAUU